Molecule: ribosomal RNA, 253 nt
Filed under: uncultured bacterium
Lineage: Bacteria
Description: partial 16S ribosomal RNA
Rfam family: Bacterial small subunit ribosomal RNA
Source: RNAcentral
UACAGGGGGUGCAAACGUUGCUCGGAAUCAUUGGGCGUAAAGCGCACGUAGGCGGUUCGUUAUGUCGGAUGUGAAAGCCCUUGGCUUAACCGAGGAAGUGCAUCCGAAACUGGCGAGCUAGAGUACGAAAGAGGAUCGCGGAAUUCCGGGUGGAGUGGUGAAAUGCGUAGAGAUCCGGAGGAACACCAAAGGCGAAGGCAGUGUCCUGGGGAGUACCUGACGCUCAGGUGCGAAAGCCAGGGGAGCGAACGGG